Molecule: transfer RNA, 75 nt
Filed under: Loxodonta africana (African savanna elephant)
Lineage: Eukaryota; Metazoa; Chordata; Mammalia; Proboscidea; Elephantidae
Rfam family: tRNA
About the family: Transfer RNA (tRNA) molecules are approximately 80 nucleotides in length. Their secondary structure includes four short double-helical elements and three loops (D, anti-codon, and T loops).
Source: Rfam by way of RNAcentral
GUCCCUGGGGGUGAAAAUGGUUAAAGUGCUCAGCUGCUAACUGAAUGGUUGGAGGUUCAAGUCCACCCAGAGGCA